UUCAGGACGCGCGAUCGAACCAGAAUCGUCGAGAAAUCGUCCGGUUGGUUUUGAAAUGCUCGGAUUAUGAUGGUGUGCGUGCACUGCAGUACCUCCUUAUAUUAUUAUAAUAUACAGAACGAUUUACCUGCAAGUUCUGAGAUUCUCUACGCUGCUGAGUGCUGCAGACUUCCAGAACCGGUUUCGUACGGAUUCAAAUUAAACCUAUUUUAAAACCUCGAGUAACUCUGAAUGAUACAUUGAAUCUCAUUGUGCAGCUGCGAGGAUUCUGUGACCGCAUUAUUUCAGAGAAAAGAAAACUUCGUUUAUAUUUAUUUUAUAUAUUACUAGUGUUUAAUAUUAUAAGAGAAUAUAACUACGAAUCGAGAUAAAAUGACAUCUACUCCCGAGCUGGAAGAAAAACCCCUGACUGGAUUCUCUAAGUAUUUCAACACAACUACUAUAAACGGCCGGGUGAAUAUUUCCUGUGCUACAUUUGCAACAUUGGGAAUGUUUUUACUGUACAUGAAGUUCAAACCAAAGAUGGAAAAAAUACCACAUACAAGCAAUGAAAAAUAAAUACACAAAAAGUUAUUUAUUUUUUUGUAAAUUUUUUCUUUUC
Molecule: long non-coding RNA, 601 nt
Organism: Metopolophium dirhodum (rose-grain aphid)
Lineage: Eukaryota; Metazoa; Arthropoda; Insecta; Hemiptera; Aphididae
Exons: 3
Source: RefSeq, a predicted model, not a curated record